RNAcentral lists this ribosomal RNA (492 nucleotides) under uncultured bacterium. RNAcentral describes it as "partial 16S ribosomal RNA". It matches the Rfam family "Bacterial small subunit ribosomal RNA", at positions 29 to 507 of the family's 1533-position model. The record is from RNAcentral.
AGUGAACGCUGGCGGUAGGCCUAACACAUGCAAGUCGAACGGCAGCACAGUAAGAGCUUGCUCUUACGGGUGGCGAGUGGCGGACGUGUGAGGAAUACAUCGGAAUCUACUUUUUCGUGGGGGAUAACGUAGGGAAACUUACGCUAAUACCGCAUACGACCUACGGGUGAAAGCAGGGGAUCUUCGGACCUUGCGCGAUUGAAUGAGCCGAUGUCGGAUUAGCUAGUUGGCGGGGUAAAGGCCCACCAAGGCGACGAUCCGUAGCUGGUCUGAGAGGAUGAUCAGCCACACUGGAACUGAGACACGGUCCAGACUCCUACGGGAGGCAGCAGUGGGGAAUAUUGGACAAUGGGCGCAAGCCUGAUCCAGCCAUACCGCGUGGGUGAAGAAGGCCUUCGGGUUGUAAAGCCCUUUUGUUGGGAAAGAAAAGCAGCAGGUUAAUACCCCGCUGUUCUGACGGUACCCAAGGAAUAAGCACCGGCUAACUUCGUG